Long non-coding RNA from Brassica oleracea var. oleracea, 240 nucleotides. RefSeq lists it as uncharacterized. NCBI's taxonomy places the organism in Eukaryota, Viridiplantae, Streptophyta, Magnoliopsida, Brassicales, Brassicaceae. The transcript has 3 exons. The record is from RefSeq and is a predicted model, not a curated record.
CUUUUGGAUAUUCAACUACGAGAUCUGAGUGAAACAAUCAUUGAAUGCACUUUAUGGAAAAACCAUGCUGAGGAUGUACACUCUUAUGUGAAGAAUAACAAAACUGGUCCAGUUAUAUUGCUUGGCAGUCUUAUGAGGACCAAAAAAUUCAACAGUAAAAUAUCAGUUCAACACUCACGCGUUUCUACAAAGCUUUUUCUGAAUGAAGAAGAUAUAGAUGAGAUAAGUGAAUUUAAGAAA